This 253-nucleotide ribosomal RNA is filed under the name uncultured bacterium. RNAcentral describes it as "partial 16S ribosomal RNA". It matches the Rfam family "Bacterial small subunit ribosomal RNA", at positions 524 to 776 of the family's 1533-position model. The record is from RNAcentral.
UACGUAGGGUGCGAGCGUUGUCCGGAAUUAUUGGGCGUAAAGAGCUUGUAGGCGGUUUGUCGCGUCUGCUGUGAAAACCCGAGGCUCAACCUCGGGCCUGCAGUGGGUACGGGCAGACUAGAGUGCGGUAGGGGAGAUUGGAAUUCCUGGUGUAGCGGUGGAAUGCGCAGAUAUCAGGAGGAACACCUAUGGCGAAGGCAGCUCUCUGGGACGGUACUGACGCUGAGACGCGAAAGCGUGGGGAGCGAACAGG